UUGGCGGACGGGUGAGUAACGCGUGGAUAACCUGCCGUAUACAGGGGGAUAACACUUAGAAAUAGGUGCUAAUACCGCAUAAGCGCACGGUUCCGCAUGGAACAGUGUGAAAAACUCCGGUGGUAUACGAUGGAUCCGCGUCUGAUUAGCCAGUUGGCGGGGUAACGGCCCACCAAAGCGAUGAUCAGUAGCCGGCCUGAGAGGGUGAACGGCCACAUUGGGACUGAGACACGGCCCAAACUCCUACGGAAGGCAGCAG
This 259-nucleotide ribosomal RNA is filed under the name uncultured bacterium. RNAcentral describes it as "partial 16S ribosomal RNA". It matches the Rfam family "Bacterial small subunit ribosomal RNA", at positions 95 to 354 of the family's 1533-position model. The record is from RNAcentral.